RNAcentral lists this ribosomal RNA (242 nucleotides) under Staphylococcus arlettae CVD059. RNAcentral describes it as "partial 16S ribosomal RNA". It matches the Rfam family "Bacterial small subunit ribosomal RNA", at positions 1 to 230 of the family's 1533-position model. Lineage: Bacteria; Bacillati; Bacillota; Bacilli; Caryophanales; Staphylococcaceae. The record is from RNAcentral.
UUUUUAUGGAGAGUUUGAUCCUGGCUCAGGAUGAACGCUGGCGGCGUGCCUAAUACAUGCAAGUCGAGCGAACAGAUAAGGAGCUUGCUCCUUUGACGUUAGCGGCGGACGGGUGAGUAACACGUGGGUAACCUACCUAUAAGACUGGAAUAACUCCGGGAAACCGGGGCUAAUGCCGGAUAACAUUUAGAACCGCAUGGUUCUAAAGUGAAAGAUGGUUUUGCUAUCACUUAUAGAUGGAC